GAGAGACAGCGAGUGUGCGCCUGGUGGCUCGAGCUGCUUGGAUGCGUUUGUGGAGCCUGAGGCCUAGGCCGCGUUUGCUCUCGCCGGGGCCUUUUCCUCACUCGGUCACCCGAUCCAACCCAUGGAUCCCACCCUUCCGCUGCUCAGUCUCCCCGCCCGAAGUCGACCUGUUCCUUCCCGCCCAACCUCCCCAAAACGUCGCCGUCGGAGGGGAAAAAAUCCGGUGCCUCAGCGAAGCCUCGGCCUGGCGUAAAGAGGCGCCCCGGGCCGGACCGUCGAUGAAGUGGCGAGGCGCCGCUAGGAAAACCCGCUGGAAGCCUCGACCCGAGGCCUGACUGGAGGAGGGAGACUGAAUUAGGACCGCUGUGUUGUUAGAAUCCCUCUUGUAUCGUCGUUCCAGGGUGUUUGGGGAGCUGUUGGCCUCGUUUUUAGCUCUGGUGAACACUUCAGUUCGGUGCUGAGGGAGUUCUGCAGUGCCAGAGAUGCCAGUUUCAGUGCGUUGGUGAGGUCACAUCUGGGAUAGUAUGUACAGUUUUGGUUUCCUUUUCUUUAAAAAGGAUAUAAAUGCUGUCCGAAGAAGGAUCACUUGAUUGAUAACUGGGAGAAGAGGUGAUCUUGUGAAUGUAUCUGUAAACAUUCAGGAGCAUGAGGCUUUCUGACCGAAACAUUGAAGAUCCUGAGGGAACAUGAAUGCCAAAAGGAUGUUUUCACUUGUGGAAGGACAGAAUCAAGGAGACGGUUUGCAAAUAAGAGGGGUUCUUUUGAGUUUGAGGUAAGUGGAACAUUUUUUUCCCUCCGUGGGUCAUGAGUCUUUUUAAUUCUCCUUCCUCAACAGCGGAGAAACUGGAAUCAUUGAAUACUUUUAAGCAAGUGGUAGUUAGAUAAUUGAUCAACAAAGAAGUUGCAAGUUCUUGGGGAUUGAUGGGAGUUUGAGUUGAGACCGCAAUCGGAUCAGAUGUUCUAGGCUAGAAAUUUAUUUCCUUCCCUUAUUGCCCAGAGCAUAGUUAGGAAUCAAUCAUAUUGAAUGUGGGUCCAGAGUUACAGAGGCCAAUGCAGGCUAGGCUGGUAGAUUUCUUUCCCCAAGAACUUUAGUGAAUCAAGUGGGUUCUUACAAUAGUUGGAGGUAGUUAUAGGGUCUUGUUAGAUUAGCCUAUUAACUGUCCAGUUCUGGUCGACCUAUUUUAAGGAUAUUAUUAAGCUGAAGAGGCUCGGAAAAGGUUUACUAGGGGAUUGCUAGGAAUGGAAGCUUUGAGUUAUAAGGAGAGGCUGGAUAGGUUGGGACUUUUCUUUUCAUCGCAGCAUAGGAGGUUGAGCGGUGACCUUACAAGGUUAAUAAAAUGAUGAGCAGUGCAGAUAAGGUGAAUGGCAGGUGCCUUUUCCCUUGUGUGUGGGAUUUCGAGACUAGUGGGUAUGUUUUUAAGGUGAGAGGAGAGAGAUUCGACAAGGAUUUGAGUGGCAACUUUUACACAGUGUGGUUUAUGUUUGGAAUGAACUUCCAGCGGUGAGCGUACAGUUACGACGUUUAAAAGACAUGUAGAUAAGCACAUGAAUAUGAAAGGUUUAGAGAGUUAUGGGCCAAGUGCAGGCAUGUGGGACAAGUUUAUUUUGGCAUGGCCCAGGUGGACUGAAGGGUCUGUUUCUGUGCCAUAUGACUCUGAAUUAAAAUUUUACUAUCUGCUGUGGUGAGAUUCAGUCUCCAUGUUCACAGAACAUCAGCCUGGGUCCGUUGACAUCACCACUAUGCCACUGCCUUUCGUAAAUGGUUUAUUCCUGCUGCUUUUGUUUGUGUGUCAGAGGCAAACACAUAAAAUGGUUCCACUGAUAGGAAAGGGAGGUUGGCGCGGUCUUAAAAUUAUUUCUGGAGCCUUAGGAAAGAUGGUUAAAGAUGUUAGAAGUAUGGAACUUUCUCCCAUGCUCAUUGGUUUGCCAGUUCAGUUGAUCAUUUUAAAUCUGAGAUUUUAAUUAGCCAUGGGUGUAAUUACAACCAAGGUAGAGAUAGGAUACAGAAUUAGAAAUGAUCUUGGUGCAUGCCAGAGCAGGAUCCCACUAAAUGGUCACCUCUGUUGCUGAAAAGCCAGGUCACGUUAUUGUUAGAAAUAAUUUCAGUGAUUACUGCAAACACGAAGGAGAUGAUGCUGGAAAUUUCACAGUUCGUUUAACAAAAUUAGAAGAGAAUAAAUACAUUCGUUUUUGAGAUGAUGGCCUAUUGUCGAUCCUUACAUUCACUCUGAUUGGAUGUUCCCAAUAAUUUUGAUUUCUGUUGUCGCUGGCUGAUGAUGAUAUCAGCGGUUACAGAAAUUGUUUCUGAAACCUCAGCCACAGAUGUUUGAAGUGUAUAGGAUACAUCCGUGGGGAAAACAGCUACCACCUUUCCCGACUCUCAAAACCGCGCGUGUAAUGAGAUCAAGCUUACUCAUGGGACUGAGCUGUUUUUGAUGAGGCCUUUGUUCUAAGUGCCUGUAGUGGCUGGAUCAUGGAUGCGUUAGAAAUCGUGAGAAAGGAAGGUGAACACGUUUGAUUGCUCACAACAAAAACAAAGUUGCUGGAGAAGCUCAGCAGGUCUGGCAGCAUCUGUGAAGAAAAAAACAGUUAACACUUUGGGUCUGGUGGCUGGGAAAACAUCAGUUUAUAUGCAGAAAAUAGGGAGAUGGGUGGGUUAGGGAGUAAAUGGUAAGACAGAGCCCAAAGAGAGAGAAAGACAGUUGAACAGACAAAGGAGUUGCUAACGAUCAGGCUGGGAGGGUGAAUAGUUGUUAAUGGAGACUGUUAGUGACUAACAACAGGGGGGUGUGUAAUAAGAUAUGUAGUAACAAGGCCUGGUGUGUGCGGUAGGGGCUGGGACAUGGGGGGAGUUUAGGCCCUUAAAUUAUUGAACUCAGUAUUAAGUCUGGAGGGCAGUAGGUCCCCCAAGUGGAAAGUGAGGUGUUGUUCCUCCAGCUCAUGUUGGACUUCGCUGGAACACUGCAGCAAGAUUGCAGCUGUUUGCAUUCUGCUCAUUUCAUCGAAGGUCAGAAACGCAGCAGUCUCUUUGAAAGCUAUUGCCCCCAAGUACGGUUGUGCCCCUCCCCCAAGCAAAGACUACUGCAGGAUGGAAGGUAGAUAUGCUCCAAAGAUUUUCAGUUUCGUGAGGUAGGCAGAAGGUUGGCUACAACUCUGCUCCACAGACACUUGCCCCAUGACGUAGUGGCACUAAAAUUUGACACUUGAGACAGGUUAGCCAAUGAAUGAAGGAACUGCCCUUUGGCACUGGUAUGUAGCACCGUAACUAGUUGUCACUUGGCAACUGGUGCCAAAGCUGGGCAAAACCAGACUGUCCACGACAGUAGCCAAAAAUAUCACUCCACCUGCGGCAGAACCUGCCACACAUCUGCUCCAAUACGCUGUAUACAGACAGCACAAUACCCCCCCCCCAAAAAAAAACAUGGAUGGUAGGAUGAUGACAUUGUUUUAAAAUAGACAUACUGGAGAAUGCAUACUGGAUUUAUAACAGCUUUUAAUAGUCCUGGCUGUAGCUUUGCACAAUAUUUUUUUUAAAAAAAGGCUUUUGGCCUUAUAGCUAAACAACUUGAAUCAUUCUGAUGAUGGAUGAGGAGAGGCUAGUCGGGAAGAGGACUAGAUAAAUGGCCUCACUGCUGUUUCCCUUUUAGUGAUUGUUCUGUUCUUGCUGAUGGAGUUGAGGUCUGUAGGAAUGUUAUGAUUCAUGCAUUCUUUUGGGAGAGUUCAGUUCCGAAAAUAGAUCCCAGUUGAGGAAGCAGCAUCUUUUUGGCUUUCUAGUAACCCCACCACCAUGUCCUGAAAACAGACAGAUUUGCGUCUCCUGUGCCCAGCGGGGUCUUGUUUUUCCUCUGCUCUCACACACUUUGAGGUCCUCUUUCAAACCUGUUGAGGCUGAGAACUCUCAAGUUUCUCCUAUUUUCAUUUGAUUUUCAGGUCUGUCAGUCUUCUUUUUCAUAGAAUCCCAACAGUGUAGAAACAGGCUAUUCAGCCCAUUGAGUCCACACCGCCCUCCGAAGAGCGUGCCACCUGGAUCCAGCCCCCUCCCCUAUCCCUGUAACCCUGUAUUUCCCAUGGCUAACCCACCCUAACCUGCACAUCCCUGGACACAAUGGGAUAAUUUAUCGCGGUCAAUCCGCCCUAACCUGCACAUCUUUGGUCUGUGGGAGGAAACUGGAACACCUGGAGGAAGCCCACAGACACAGGGAGAAUGUGCAAACGCUACACAAACAGUCUCCCGAGGCUGGGGUUGUACCUGGGUCCCUGGUGCUGUGAGGCAGCAGCGCUAAGCAGUGAGCCACCGUGGGUUCAAAUUUUUUGCCUUUGUGUUAUGCGAAACUGCUCUUGUCCCACAGGUGUACUUUGGCUUCAGCUGAGCUUCCCCAGGUGAGGGUCAGUAGCUGAAAUUUUGGGGUUUUAAGCUACAAAACAUUGUUGGCUGAUGUGGAGCUCUGCUGCUUCCUGCCCUUCCGACCAUCCCACUCUGUGCUCACUGAGGGGCCACAAACAAUUCCCAACCCUAAAUGAAGUCAUGGUGGAAGAGGUUUGAUAAGCACUGGGCUAAAGCAUUGUAUCAAUAAAAGAAAUCAACUAUUUUCCCAAUGUCAUCUGUUAUCACAAGGCAUUUUUAGACGAAUUGUAUUGUCAACUAGAACUAGUUGAAAAUCCAUUGUUCCUUUCCAGCUGUAAUGAUGUUGAGAGCUGGAUUUUCUUUCUUGUUCCAUUGUGCAAUAAUGCACAGCUGGUAUAACUGCAGUCAUAGCACACUGGUCCCCAUUCUUUUCCGGCGGUCUCUUCAUUCCCUAAGUACUAAUAAAUCUAAAUUAUCUUAAUGUUGAAUGUAGUCAGCAGCUGAGCAUGGCAACUGUCUGGUUUGAGAAUUCCACGUAGUUGUAGCAUCUUUUGAUGACCCCUGGGUGCCCUGGUGGUUUGAUACCGCAGAUUGUUUUGUUCGGCUUGAGCAGACUAUUGGGCCAGAAGUUUUGCGUCUGGUGUGAAAGUUGUCACCUUUUGACAGCACAGCAUUCGCUUGGGUCAGCUUAGAUGACCAGUUCGGUCUCCUGGAGUAGACUUGGGAACCGCUGAUGGGGCAUCGACUGGCUGACUGUCUCGAUUUCAGUGCUCCCCUCACCCUCGCUCAGAUGUGACUCUGAGACCAGAGAGACACUGUACUUGGCAAGGAGAUCGGUGAGUAAGAUGAGCAUUUUUUUUUAAACUGAGCAAGUUAUGGUAAUCUGGAAUACGCUGCCUACAAACAUCCUUUGGCUGGGGAAGGGGUAUGCUGGAAGCACAGAUGGGGCAAAUUGAAUUGCUUUCUUAAGCAUUGUGCUUGGACUCAGUGGGCUGACUGGUCUCCUGCUAUGCUGUGUAAUUUGAUGGAAAGUGUCACUGGCACUAAUGAGCACACAGUCCCAUAACCACCAGCAUUUGAUUCUUCAGGAUAGAUUCCAAAAGCACCCACUGUCCCAUGUGAACAAUGGUUCUUUAAUGUCAUAGAGUCCUACAGCAUGGAAACAGACCCUUCGGUCCAACUAGUCUGUGUUGACCAUAAUCCCAAACUAAACUAAUCCUACCUGCCUGCUCCUGGUUCAUAUUCCUCCAAACCUUUCCUGUUCAUGUACUCAUCCAAUUGUUUAUAAACGUUGUAAUGGUACCAGCGUCCACCACUUUCACGAGAAGUUCAUUCCAGACGUGAACCACAGUCUGUGUCUUUGUUUUAAAAAACAAAUGCCCCUUGUUGUGUGUAUUUCUUUUAAAUCUCUGUCCUCACACCUUAAAAAAUGCCAGCCAGUCUUGAAGUGCCCAACCCCUGAGAAAAGACACUUGCCAUUCACCCUGUCUAUACCCCUCGUGGUUUUAUAAACCAUGCAGUGGAAAAAGGUUCCAGCCUCUCCCUAUCAGUCAAAUCUUCCGCUCCUGGCAACAUCCUGAUAUAUCUUUUCUGAACCCUCUGCAGCUUAAUAAUAUCCUUCCUAUAAUAGAUAGACCAGAGUUGCACACUGUAUCACAGAAGAGGAGUGUCAAUAAAGUCUCAUUUGUACACACUGUUAUCCUGGUACUGUUAAAACGUUGGAUUUCGGGUUGGGACUUUGUAGGACUUUGGUUUCAGUUUCAUUUCCUUUGAGUCUGUUUUCAGUUCUCCCUGGAUGUGUUAUGUACAGGGCUGUUCCUUCUAAAUGAGCCUUGACUCUGCAACAGUGACCCUGCACCAUGUACUUCGUCAAGACCACUUCUGGAAUACUGCGUUCAUUUCCAGUCUCCCUGCUUUAGGAGCGAUGUUGUGAAACUUGAAAGGGUUCAGAAAAGAUUUACAAGGAUGUUGCCAGGGUUAGUGGGUUUGAGCUGUAGGGAGAGGGGGAAUAGGCCAGUGCUUACUUACCUGCAGGUUUGGAGGCCGAGGGGCGAGAGGGGAAAGGUUUUGAAAGGGAUCAAGAGGGGUAACUUUUUCACGCAGAGGGUGGUGCGUAUAUGGAAUGAGUUGCCAGAGGAAGUGGUGGAGGCUGGUACAGUUACAGCAUUUAAAUGCAUCUAGAUGGGUACACGUGAGUAGGAAGGGUCUAGAGGGAUAGAACAUAGAACAGUACAGCACAGAACAGGCCCUUCAGCCCAGGAUGUUGUGCCGACCAUUGAUCCUCAUGAAUGCACCCUCAAAUUUCUGUGACCAUAUGCAUGUCCAGCAGUGUCUUAAAUGUCCCCAAUGACCUUGCUUCCACAACUGCUGCUGGCAACGCAUUCCAUGCUCUCACAACUCUCUGUGUAAAGAACCCGCCUCUGACGUCCCCUCUAUACUUUCCACCAACCAGCUUAAAACUAUGACCCCCUUGUGUUAGCCAUUUCUGCCCUGGGAAAUAGUCUCUGGCUAUCAACUCUAUCUAUGCCUCUCAUUAUCUUGUAUACCUCAAUUAGGUCCCCUCUCCACCUCCUUUUCUCCAAUGAAAAAAGUCCGAGCUCAGUCAACCUCUCUUCAUAAGAUAAGCCCUCCAGUCCAGGCAGCAUCCUAGUAAACCUCCUCUGAACCCUCUCCAAAGCAUCCACAUUAUUCCUAUAAUAGGGCGACCAGAACUGGACGCAGUAUUCCAAGUGCGGUCUAACCAAAGUUUUGUAGAGCUGCAACAAGAUCUCACGACUCUUAAACUCAAUCCCCCUGCUAAUGAAAGCCAAAACACCAUAUGCUUUCUUAACAACCCUGUGCACUUGGGUGGCCAUUUUAAUGGAUCUAUGUGUCUGCAUACCAAGAUCCCUCUGUUCCUCCACACUGCCAAGAGUCCUAUCCUUAAUCCUGUACUCAGCUUUCAAAUUCGACCUUCCAAAAUGCAUCACCUCGCAUUUAUCCAGGUUGAACUCCAUCUGCCACCUCUCAGCCCAUCUCUGCAUCCUGUUAAUGUCCCUCUGCAGCCUACAACAGCCCUCUAUACUGUCAAUGACACCUCCAACCUUUGUGUCGUCUGCAAACUUGCUGACCCAUCCUUCAAUCCCCUCAUCCAAGUCAUUAAUAAAAAUUACAAACAGUAGAGGCCCAAGGGCAGAGCCCUGUGGAACACCACUCACCACUGACUUCCAGGCAGAAUAUUUUCCUUCUACUACCACUCGCUGUCUUCUGUUGGCCAGCCAAUUCUGUAUCCAGACAGCUAAGUCCCCUGUAUCCCAUUCCUCCUGACCUUCUGAAUGAGCCUACCAUGGGGAACCUUAUCAAAUGCCUUGCUGAAGUCCAUAUACACCACAUCCACAGCUCGACCCUCAUCAACUUUUCUAGUCACAUCCUCAAAGAACUCGAGAAGGUUUGUGAGGCAUGACCUGCCUCUCUCAAAGCUGUGUUGACUGCAUUUAAUCAAGCCAAGCUGUUCCAGAUGGUCAUAAAUCCUAUCCCUCAGAAUCCUUUCUAACACCUUGCAGACGACAGACGUGAGACUUACUGGUCUGUAAUUGCUGGGGAUUUCCCUAUUUCCUUUCUUGAAGAGAGGAAUUACAUUUGCCUCUCUCCAGUCCUCAGGUACGACUCCAGUGGAGAGCGAGGAUGCAAAGAUCUUUGCAAGUGGCGAAGCAAUUGCAUUUCUCGCUUCCCAAAGCAGCUGAGGACAAAUCUGGUCCGGGCCUGGCGACUUGUCAAUCUUAAUGUUUGACAAAAGUUUCAGCACAUCAGCUUCCUCUAUCUCUAUCCAUUCCAGCAUGCACACCUGCUCUUCAAAGGUUUCAUUCACUACAAAGGUCGUUGCUUUCGUAAAGACAGAAGCAAAAAACUCAUUUAGGGCUUCCCCUACCUCCUCAGACUCCACACACAAGUUCCCUAUGCUAUCCCUGAUCGGCCCUACUCUUUCUUUGACCAUUCUCUUAUUCCUCACAUAAGUGUAAAAUGCCUUUGUGUUCUCCCUAAUCCGUUCUGCCAAGCCUUUCUUGUGCCCCCUCCUGGCUCUCCUCAGACCAUUUUUGAGCUCCUUCCUCGCCUGCCUGUAAUUCUCUAGAGCUGAGCUUGACCCUAGCUUCCUCCACCUUAUGUAAGCUACCUUCUUCCUUUUGACGAGAAGCUCCACCGCUCUCGUCAUCCAAGGUUCCUUUAUCUUACCCCUUCUUGCCUGUCUCAGAGGGACAUAUUUAUUCAUCACUCGCAACAACUGUUCCUUAAACAGCCUCCACAUGUCUAUAGUGCCUUUACCAUGGAACAAUUGCUCCCAGUUGCUCCCAGUCCAUGCUUCCUAACUCCUGUCUAAUCGCAUCAUAGUUUCCUCUUCCCCAAUUAAAUAUCCUCCCAUUUUGCCUAAUCCUCUCCUUCUCCAUAGCUAUGUAGAAUGUGAGGCAGUUAUGGUCACUAUCACCAAAAUGCUCUCCCGCCACAAGAUCCAAUACCUGCCCCGGCUCGUUUCCAAGCACCAAGUCUAGAAUGGCCUCUCCCCUCGUCGGCCUGUCAACGUACUGAGUUAGGAAACCCUCCUGAGCACACCUUACAAAAACAGCUCCAUUCAAAUCUUCUGCUCGAAGGAGGUUCCAAUCAAUAUUGGGAAAGUUAAAGUCACCCAUUACAACAACCCUACUACAUCCGCAAUUUUCCAAAAUUUCCCGACCUAUGCUUUCUUCAAUCUCCCUGCUGCUUUUGGGGGGCCUGUCGUAAACCCCUAACAAGGUGACUACUCCCUUGCUGUUCCUAAUUUUCACCCACACUGCCUCAGUAGGCAGAUCUUCCUCGACAAAGGAAGCUUCUGUAGCUGUGAUACCCUCUCUGAAUAGUAGUGCUACACCCCCUCCUCUUUUUCCCCCCUCCCUAUUCUUUUUAAAUGUUCUAAACCCUGGAACAUCCAGCAACCAUUCCUGCCCCUGAGAAACCCAUGUCUCUGUUAUGGCCACAACAUCAUAGCACCAGGUACUGAUCCAUGCUCUGAGUUAAUCACUUUUAUUCCUGAUACUCCUUGCAUUAAAGCAAACACAUUUUAACCGAUCCCUUGGUUCCUUCCCAGGAAAAUCUUUCCCACUAGCUGGUCUACCUCUUGCUACUGCCUCACCUGCAUCAACUCUCACCUCUGGUAUACAGCUCAGGUUCCCACCCCCCUGCCAUACUAGUUUAAACCCUCUCGAACUACUCGAGCAAACCUUCCACCCAGGACAUUGGUCCCCUUCCAGUUCAGAUGCAACCCGUCCUUCUUGUACAGGUCCCACCUUCCCCAGAACGCAUCCCAAUUAUCUACAUAUCUGAAGCCCUCCCUCCUACACCAGCUGCGCAGCCACGUGUUAAGCUGCGCCUGCUCCCUGUUCCCUGCCUCGCUAUCUCGUGGCACCGGUAGUAAACUAGAGAACACUACUCUGUUUGUCCUGCUUUGCAGCUUCCAUCCUAACUCCCUGAAAUCACUUUUUAUAUCCUCAAUCCUUUUUCUGGCUAUAUCAUUAGUGCCAAUAUGUAACACGAUUUCUGGCUGUUCGCCCUCCCCUUUUAGAACCUUAUACACCCGAUCGGAGACGUCCCGGACCCUGGCACCAGGGAGGCAACAUACCUUCAAAAUAAACCACAAAAUCUCCUGUCGAUUCGCCUAACUAUCGAGUCCCCUACCACGAGUACUUUUCUAUUCUGCCCCCUUCCCUUCUUUGCCACAGUGUCAGGCUCAGUGCCAGAGAACUGACUACUAUGGCUUUCCUCUGGUAGGUCAUCCCCCCCAGCAGUAUCCAAAACGGUAUACUUAUUGCUGAGGGGAAUGUCCACAGGGGAUCUCUGCACUGUCUGUCUGUCCCCUUUCCUCCCCCUAACUGUAAUCCAUCUAUCCUUGUUCUGAGCCUUAGGAGUGACCAACUACUGGUAACUCCUCUUAAUUACCCCCCUGCCUCCCGAAUGAUCCGUAGUUCAUCCAGCUCCAGCUCCAUUUCCCUAACACGGUUUUCAAGGAGCUGUAGUUGGGUGCACUUCCCGCAGAUGUAGCCAGCGGAGACGUGUGCCACGUCUCCCAACUGCCACAUUCUGCAGGAGGAGCAAGCAACUGCCCUAGCAUCCAUACCCCACUUAUCUGAACACUCACUCAGUACUAAAGUAGAAAGCUUAGUUCAAGUUGCUAUAAAAUUAAUAACAAACUUAUAUUCAACAGAGAAAGUUUAGAAUGUACCUUACCUUAUUAACUAGGUUAGAGGAGGAGGGUGGGUGGGAGACUCUACAGUUGUAGAGUCUCGGGUUUAGCCGCCUUGCUGAUAUAUAUGGUCACUGCUUUCCUUCCCGGCUGCCCCUCUGGUCCUCGUCACUUCCUCUGCUGCUCCAGCUUCUUCUGUGAAAGAGAAAACACCGCUGCCCGCUACCGGUAAGUAAUUUUAAAAAUAAACUGCUUUACCUUAGCUGCAGUCUUCCGGGUCCGUCUUACCUCCGCUGCUGCUCGCACUCAAAAUCAUGCAUAUGGGCCAAAUGCUGGCAAAUGGGAUAUCGGGUUGGCAGGGAUGCGUUGGACCAAAGGGUCUGUUUCCAUGCAGUACGUCUCCGUGACCUGCUUAAAACGGUGUUACCAGGCCAGAAGCCAAUGCAAGGCAGUGAGCAGGAAGAUGACUGGUGGAUGAGAUGUCAGACUGAGUGAUAUUUGAGGAUUUUACUCGGUAGGCUGGCCAGGCAAAGGCUGAGAUAGUCAUAUGUGGGGGUUGGGGGUGGUAGUUGGACAGGUGAGAGCCUCGGCAAGUGGACAAGUGGAAAGCACUGGCAGAGCAGCAACUUCACUUGAGCUCGGUGGGUGUUGUUUGACGAACCCGUGCUUUCCUCCAGUUGUCUGGACAAUCGAGUGCCUUGCUGGGUCUAUGUUAGGGCAGGGCAGUUUUAAAAAAAAAAUCACAAUGCUUUAUUCUCUUGUUCUGUCUACCAGCCCACAAAGGAUUAGUUUGCUGAAUUCCCUUUCACAAAUGGCCCCCGGUAUGUGAUGAACCUGUGCUGGUCCGGGGCCACAACCAUGACUGCACUGUACCCAGAGAACAAAAUGCUUUCUGUGGGCAGACAGCAACUUGGGGUGAGUACAGACAGUGUGAUUAUACUGCUGAGCGCUCACAGCUCAAACAGUCAGUGUUGUGAAAUCUUUCCACCCACAGCCUCAACAGAACGAGAAAUUCCAGUGAGAACACCCCUUGGCCAGUCUAUCAGCUCACCACUUUACUUGGUGGAACCAUUCCCAGCUUUGUGUAAGUUCAAAUCAGGUUUUUUUUUGCGCAUUUAUGAUCAGAAAGGGUAAGUGUUUCGUUGGUCUCAUCGAGAAACGUGGUAAUGAAGAGGCUUGUUUGCCCUGUACCCUUGCUGGCUGUUUAGAGUUAUCUAAUAAUUUCAAAAUUCCACUCUCUCAAUUCUUCCUCUAUUGUUAUAGAGUCAUACAGCUUGUUCCAGUGCAGAAGGCCAUUCAGCCCAUUGAGUUCACACUAGCUUUAAGGGAGCAUUUUACUUGAAGCCUGUCUGCCUCAAUUGCUCAUUUGUACAUUUCCUGUUUAUAUGUGACAGUAUUUCACUUAGAAUCAUAGAGCUGGUCAGCACAGAAACAGACCUUUCGCUCUGACUCGCCCAUGCCGAACAGAUAUCCUACGUUAAUCUAGUUUCAUUAGGCCCAUAUCCCUCUGAACCUCUCCUAUUCACAUACCCAUCCAGAUGCCUUUUAAAUGUUGUCAAUAUACCAGCCUCCACCACUUCCUCUGGUGGCUCAUUCCAUACAUGCACCACCCUCUGUGUGGAAAAAGUUACCCCUCGGGUUCCUUUUAUAUCUUUCCCCUCUCACCUUAAACCUAUUCCCCUCUAGAUUUGGACUCCCCCACUCUGGGGGAAAAGACCUUGAAAUCCCCCACCCUAGGGAAAAGACAUCUACCAUUAACCUUAUGUGAAUCCCUCAUAGAAGGUCACCUCUCAACCUCCUCCAUGCCAGUGACAAAAGUGCCAAUCGAUCCACUCCGUCUUUAGUCCAACUGCUCCUUGCUGGUAUUUAUGCUUGAUGAGCCUCCCCUCCCUCUCACCAGCUCUAUCUCACCCUAUCACCAGCUGAUGAUUCCUUCUCCAGUGUGUAUUUAUCUCGUUUCACCAUAAAUGCACCUACAUGUUCAGCUUCACCACUCCCACUGAAAGCAAGUUCCACAUUUUCCCCAUUGCCCUGGAGCAAAGUUUAAGAAUGAUUUAGACAGAUGCAUGAACAGGCAACAAAUAGAGAAAUAUGGACCAUGUGCAGGUCAGUGAUAAUAAAAUGUGAGGCUGGAUGAACACAGCAGGCCAAGCAGCAUCUCAGGAGCACAAAAGCUGACGUUUCGGGCCUAGACCCUUCAUCAGAGAGGGGGAUGGGGGGAGGGAACUGGAAUAAAUAGGGAGAGAGGGGGAGGCGGACCGAAGAUGGAGAGUAAAGAAGAUAGGUGGAGUUGCAAUGGGAGAGAGAUUCCCUGAGGUUGGUCCGGAGGGAGGAGGGUAACUUCUUCAGGUUAGGCAUCCCUGGAAGAGGCUUCGCAGUGAGGUUAAAAUAGUAUCAGAGAUAAUGGGAACUGCAGGUCAGUGUGAUGUGUUUAGAAUGACACCACAGUUAGCCCAGGCAUGGUAGGCUGAUGGACCUGUUCCUGGACUGUUCUGUGUUCACUGGGUAAAGCCAUUUCUCAUUUAGAUUUGUUAGUGAUUGUCUGAUACUGAUGGUACUGUGUUCUCCUCUUCCUCCACAAGCAGAAACAUCUUUUGUCAAGUGCUGG
Molecule: long non-coding RNA, 13140 nt
Organism: Stegostoma tigrinum
Lineage: Eukaryota; Metazoa; Chordata; Chondrichthyes; Orectolobiformes; Stegostomatidae
Exons: 3
Source: RefSeq, a predicted model, not a curated record